AUUGAACGCUGGCGGAAUGCUUUACACAUGCAAGUCGACCGGUAGAGGGGGCAACCCCUCGAGAGUGGCGAACGGGUGAGUAAUAUAUCGGAACGUGCCCAGUCGUGGGGGAUAACGUAGCGAAAGUUACGCUAAUACCGCAUACGAUCUAAGGAUGAAAGCGGGGGAUCGCAAGACCUCGCGCGAUUGGAGCGGCCGAUAUCAGAUUAGGUAGUUGGUGGGGUAAAGGCUAACCAAGCCAACGAUCUGUAGCUGGUCUGAGAGGACGACCGGCCACACUGGAACUGAGACACGGUCCAGACUCCUACGGGAGGCAGCAGUGGGGAAUUUUGGACAAUGGACGAAAGUCUGAUCCGGCCAUUCCGCGUGCAGGAUGAAGGCCCUCGGGUUGUAAACUGCUUUUGUACGGAACGAAAAGGUCUCUCUUAAUACGGGGGGCUCAUGACGGUACCGUAAGAAUAAGCACCGGCUAACUACGUGCCAGCCGCCGCAGUAA
RNAcentral lists this ribosomal RNA (496 nucleotides) under uncultured bacterium. RNAcentral describes it as "partial 16S ribosomal RNA". It matches the Rfam family "Bacterial small subunit ribosomal RNA", at positions 30 to 523 of the family's 1533-position model. The record is from RNAcentral.